AUGGAGAAAGCACGUCGAGCCAUGUUCUUCUUGUUACUGCUGAUCGCCGAUUUCAGCGUGGCCCAAGACACCGCCGGCGAAGCGGAUGAAUUCCACGUCGGGGUGAUCCUCGACCUGGGAUCGCUGGUGGGGAAAGUGGCGCGGACCAGCGUGCUGCUGGCCGCCCAGGAUUUCUACACGGUCCACCGGAACUACAGCACGAAGCUCGUUCUCCACGUUGUGGACUCCGCGGGCAGUGAUGUCCAGGCCGCAUCGGCAGCUAUUGAAUUACUGGAGAGCUACAAAGUGCAAGCCAUCAUUGGUCCCCAGAAAUCAUCAGAGGCUGUGUUCAUAUCUAAUAUUGGAAAUGUAACCCAAGUCCCCAUAAUAUCAUUCACAGCAACAAGCCCAUCCCUCACUUAUAAUAGUAUGCCGUAUUUUGUACGAGCAACGUUGGAUGACUCAACUCAGGUGAAAAGCAUUGCCGCGCUUGUACAAGCAUGUGGAUGGAGAGAAGUGGUGGCAGUAUAUGAAGACACUGACUAUGGGAGAGGCAUCCUACCAUACCUCACUGAUGCACUUCAAGAAAUUGAUGUCCGUGUUCCGUAUCGCAGCGCCAUCCCUUCGUCGGCUACAAACGAAACCAUUAUGCAAGAACUCGGUGUGUUGAUAGCAAUGCAAACAAGGGUAUUUAUUGUUCAUAUGUCAUCCAUUAUGGCUUCCCUUAUUUUUACGAAAGCAAAAGAGGUAGGGAUGAUGAACAAAGGAUUUGCGUGGAUCACUACAAAUGGAGUAGCAAACAUCAUCGACUCACUCAAUCCAAGUGUCAUUGAGGCAAUGGAAGGUGUCCUAGGAGUAAGGUGUCAUGUUCCCAGAUCACAAGAACUUGAUAAUUUAUCCAUAAGGUGGAACAGAAUGUACCAACAGGAUAACCCAUAUGAAUCACCCUUUAAUAAACUAAGCAUUGUUGGACUAUGGGGCUAUGAUACGAUAUGGGCAAUUGCACAUGCAGCAGAAAAGGUUGGGAUAUCCAGUGCUAGAGAUAAGCAACCAUGGCCCACUAAAAGCUCCACAUGCUUGGAAUCCAUGGUUAUUUCCACUAAUGGUCCUGAACUCUUAUCAGUGAUCGUACAAAAUAAGUUCAGAGGUUUAAGUGGUGAAUUUGACCUUACAGAUAGACAACAGCUUAAAGUUUCUGUGUUCCAAAUAAUAAAUGUGGUUGAGAGAGGUUGGAGAGAAAUCGGGUUUUGGACUGUGAAUGGACUUUUACGGAAGUUAAAGCGAGAUUACUCUAAAAAAACAGGACAAGCAUCAAUGCUUGAUCUAAAUCCUGUAAUUUGGCCAGGAGAGUCCACCGAAAUACCAAUGGGCUGGGAAAUUCCUAGAGUUGGUAAGAAGCUUAGAGUCGGUGUGUGCUCUAGCGAAUUUACAGAGUUUAUAAAGACAUACAAAGAUCCUAUCACAAAUGCAACAACAGCGAGUGGCCUUUCAAUUGACAUAUUUGAGGAGGCAGUAAAGAGGCUACAUCGUCCGCUUUCUUAUGAAUACCUAGAAUUUGACACUGCUGAUGCACCAAUUUCCGGAAGCUACAAUGAUUUUGUUUAUCAGGUCUACCUUCAGAAAUAUGAAAUAGCGGUUGCAGAUAUUACUAUAAGGUCCAAUAGAUCAUUGUAUGUCGACUUCACUGCACCAUACACAGAAUCUGGAGUAGGGAUGAUUGUUCCAGUCAAGGAAAACGUGAAUACAGACAUGUGGCUUUUCUUGAAACCAUUGAGCACUGAGAUGUGGUUUGGCAGCAUCGUAUGCUUUCUCUACACAGGAGUUGUUGUCUGGCUUCUAGAGCAUCUAAUUGGCAAUGAACAUGUUCAUGUUCCGUUUUCACUCAAACAGCUGGCGAUUACAAUAUUCUCCAUUUUUGAAGAGAGUUGA
This 1908-nucleotide ribosomal RNA is filed under the name Triticum aestivum (bread wheat). Its description in RNAcentral is "partial small subunit ribosomal RNA". Lineage: Eukaryota; Viridiplantae; Streptophyta; Magnoliopsida; Poales; Poaceae. The record is from RNAcentral.